This is a long non-coding RNA of Cucumis sativus (cucumber), 611 nucleotides long. RefSeq lists it as uncharacterized. NCBI's taxonomy places the organism in Eukaryota, Viridiplantae, Streptophyta, Magnoliopsida, Cucurbitales, Cucurbitaceae. The transcript has 2 exons. The record is from RefSeq and is a predicted model, not a curated record.
UAGUAGGAGAUAUAAACCAUUCUAGAUUUCAACUUUUCCAAUUGUCCUAAACCAAAAAUUUUCAUAUAUGAGACAAAAAAUUUCAACAAAUUUUACUGUAGGAAUUUCAUAGUUAGUCCACCGGCUAAGAUGAAGUUGAAUCAAAAUUCAGGAGAAGCAUAUGUGGGUUGUGGCACCAAAAUCUAUAAUCUAGCAGCUCAUUUCAAAAAUGGACAAUGGCAAAAAAUGACAAGUACCUACAACAUGAAUGGAAGCGAAAUGCACUGGAGGGAUUAGUUGUAGAGGUGUCAACCUUUACUUUGGCAAGAUGAGACUAGAGGUUAGCCAAAAGAACUUGGCAUUGUUCAACAUUCAUGUUAGCAAGGGAGUCUAUGGAAGGGGUUGUUGUCUUGUUGCUUGAAUAAGAUUUCUAAUUGUUUCAACUGGGGCAAUAACCGGGGGAAAACCAUGGAUCCAAUAGCACUUGUCAACUGUACGAUCUGGGAUGUUACAAUUUGUGCAAACAUGCAUGGCACUCUUUCUUUUUUGUAGGAUUGGAGUAAUUCAAAGAGUUUUUUACCAACAUUGUAGCAACUUCUGUGGCAGUACCAGAUAAGGUUCUUGAUUUUUAA